RNAcentral lists this transfer RNA (70 nucleotides) under Epiplatys guineensis. RNAcentral describes it as "tRNA-Ile". It matches the Rfam family "tRNA". Rfam says of the family: Transfer RNA (tRNA) molecules are approximately 80 nucleotides in length. Their secondary structure includes four short double-helical elements and three loops (D, anti-codon, and T loops). Further hydrogen bonds mediate the characteristic L-shaped molecular structure. tRNAs have two regions of fundamental functional importance: the anti-codon, which is responsible for specific mRNA codon recognition, and the 3' end, to which the tRNAs corresponding amino acid is attached (by aminoacyl-tRNA synthetases). tRNAs cope with the degeneracy of the genetic code in two manners: having more than one tRNA (with a specific anti-codon) for a particular amino acid; and 'wobble' base-pairing, i.e. permitting non-standard base-pairing at the 3rd anti-codon position. The record is from RNAcentral. Lineage: Eukaryota; Metazoa; Chordata; Actinopteri; Cyprinodontiformes; Nothobranchiidae.
GGAGUUGUGCCUGAAUUAUAGGGUUAUUUUGAUAGAGUAAAUCAUGGGGGUUAAAAUCCCCCCGACUCCU